CGUAAGCUGUCGCUAUGGGGAGUGGCCCCGCGGUGCAUUAGCUAGUUGGUAAGGUAAAGGGCUUACCAAGGCGAUGAUGCAUAGCCCGAGUUGAGAGACUGAUCGGCCACAUUGGGGACUGAGACACGGGCCCAAACUCCUACGGGAGGCAGCAGUAGGGAAUCUUCCACAAUGGACGCAAGUCUGAUGGAGCAAACGCCGCGUGGGUGAAGAAGGUUUUCGGAUCGUAAAGCUCUGUUGUUGGUGAAGAAGGAUAGAGGUAGUAACUGGCCCUUUAUUUGACGGUAAUCAACCAGAAAGUCACGGGCUAACUACGUGCCAGCAGCCGCGGUAAAU
This 336-nucleotide ribosomal RNA is filed under the name uncultured Lactobacillus sp. Its description in RNAcentral is "bacterial SSU rRNA". It matches the Rfam family "Bacterial small subunit ribosomal RNA", at positions 201 to 525 of the family's 1533-position model. The record is from RNAcentral. Lineage: Bacteria; Bacillati; Bacillota; Bacilli; Lactobacillales; Lactobacillaceae.